RNAcentral lists this ribosomal RNA (366 nucleotides) under uncultured prokaryote. RNAcentral's name for it is "partial 16S ribosomal RNA". The record is from RNAcentral.
CCCUAUGGGGUGCAGCAGGCAAUAGAACCAUGAAUAGGGCUACCGUCAGCAGAACUGCUGUGAUUCGCCGUCUGGCCUUCAUCUCACUUUUCCCGCCUCGCUUAAUCUGAAUAGGAUUAUGCCGGAGGGAGGUAUUCUUCUCCGGCGAUUUUUCUCCGAUUCUGCUGCUAUUCUCAUCGAUCGGUUCUAUCGAUCAUCAGAAUGCUUCAUACUGCAAGACAGCCUUCUCCUCCUCGGAUCCCUCUUGGGAGGCGAAGCUUAUGGAGGCAUCUUCAUCAGCCACCAAAACCACUGAGAAGGAACAGCCCUCGCUGCACUCUACUGCCGCCUUUUUCACAAAAUCUGUAGCAUCCCAGGUCUGCCAGC